Molecule: small nuclear RNA, 320 nt
Filed under: Jaculus jaculus (lesser Egyptian jerboa)
Lineage: Eukaryota; Metazoa; Chordata; Mammalia; Rodentia; Dipodidae
Description: 7SK RNA (ENSJJAG00000004940.1)
Rfam family: 7SK RNA
About the family: 7SK was discovered as an abundant small nuclear RNA in the mid-70s but a possible function has only recently been suggested. Two independent studies have found that 7SK RNA binds the CDK9/cyclin T complex (known as elongation factor P-TEFb).
Source: RNAcentral
AGAUGUGAGGGCGAUCUGCCUGUGACAUCUGUCACUCCAUUGAUCACCAGGGUUGGUUAGGCUGGCUAUCCAGGUGUCCCCUUCCUCCCUCACUGCUCCAUGUGCAUCUCUCCCAAAGCUGCAUGCUCAGUCAAAGAGGAUGACCUUUCCACAAUAGAGGAGGACCAGUCUUCAGUCAAGGGUACAGAGAUAGGUGUGCUCCCCUGCUAGGAUUUCCAAACAAGCUCUCAAAUGGAUGAUUUUCUUCAUCAUCUGUGUUCUGCAGUGGUGAUGAAGUUCUAAGUUUUUCAGGAAGACUUUGAGGAUGGAGAUUGUUUUCA